RNAcentral lists this ribosomal RNA (433 nucleotides) under uncultured bacterium. RNAcentral's name for it is "partial 16S ribosomal RNA". It matches the Rfam family "Bacterial small subunit ribosomal RNA", at positions 29 to 507 of the family's 1533-position model. The record is from RNAcentral.
AACGAACGCUGGCGGCAUGCCUAACACAUGCAAGUCGAAAGAGACCUUCGGGUCUAGUGUCGCACGGGGGCGUAACGCGUGGGAACCUGCCCUUAGGUUCGGAAUAACUCCCCGAAAGGGGUGCUAAUACCGGAUAAUGUCUUCGGACCAAAGAUUUAUCGCCUUUGGGUGGGCCCGCGGUGUAUUAGCUAGUUGGUAGGGUAAAAGCCUACCAAGGCGACGAUCCAUAGAUGGUCUGAGAGGAUGAUCAGCCACACUGGGACUGAGACACGGCCCAGACUCCUACGGGAGGCAGCAGUGGGGAAUAUUGGACAAUGGGCGAAAGCCUGAUCCAGCAAUGCCGCGUGAGUGAUGAAGGCCUUAGGGUUGUAAAGCUCUUUUACCCGGGAUGAUAAUGACAGUACCGGGAGAAUAAGCUCCGGCUAACUCCGUG